UUUUAGUUGGUUAAUGGAUUGUGAGACUUGAUCAAAUAUUAUUUAAUUUUUGGGAAUUCAAUAUUCAUGCAAUUUUAUAUUUAAUUUUCAUAUUAUUUUGUUGUUAAAAUCUACGUUGAUUUUUAUUGCAAAAUAAUUAUUUGUUAGUUUGAAUAAUUUAAGUCCGUAAUUGCUUGGGUUAUUCUUACAUGAGGACACUUGGGAUCAAACCCAAGGAAAUUGCAUGAUCUAGCGUUAUCUCCAUACGUUUGGGUAGCUAGGAUUGGGUCUCUCUAUUUCUUAAUGCAAUUCACAAUUGUUUUGAUGCCUAAGGCCCAAGGACGUUCCUUGGCAAUUUGUUAAUUAGUAAUUAAUUAGAGGACGUUCCCUAAUUAAUUUAUUCCUAAGGAGAGAUAAUGGUGGUGAGAAGCGUCUUCCAUCUCCAUAACUAAUCUAUUGGGUCAACCCAAAAGAAUAAAGUGUCUGUGAUCAACUCCAACAACUAAAGUGGAUCCAAUAUUUCAACUAGAACUUUUCUCAUAUUGAUUUACUCUUUUAUUUUAAUUAUUUGCUUUCUAUUAUUACUCUCAUUAUUAGUUACUUCAAUCAAUCUCAAACCCCCCAUUUUACUUUUAUUGCAAUUUAUUUUUAUUCUGUUUCCAGUUUAUCUCAUUUGAUCCCAC
RNAcentral lists this long non-coding RNA (662 nucleotides) under Manihot esculenta (cassava). RNAcentral describes it as "long non-coding RNA (MESC_LNC012127)". Lineage: Eukaryota; Viridiplantae; Streptophyta; Magnoliopsida; Malpighiales; Euphorbiaceae. The record is from RNAcentral.